CAAUAGCGUAUAUUGAAGUUGUUGCAGUUAAAAAGCUCGUAGUUGGAUUUCGGGGCAGCCUGGCUGGUCCGCCGCAAGGCGAGUACUGGUCAGCCGCCCUUCCUCUCGAAAGCCCCGACUGCUCUUCGUUGCAGUGGUCGGGUAGUUCGGGACGUUUACUUUGAAAAAAUUAGAGUGUUCAAGGCAGGCCUACGCCUGAAUACAUUAGCAUGGAAUAAUGGAAGAGGACCUCGGUCCUAUUUUGUUGGUUUCCAGGGCCGAAGUAAUGAUUAAGAGGGACAGUUGGGGGCAUUCGUAUUUAAUUGUCAGAGGUGAAAUUCUCGGAUUUAUGAAAGACGAACGACUGCGAAAGCAUUUGCCAAGGAUGUUUUCAUUAA
Molecule: ribosomal RNA, 377 nt
Filed under: uncultured eukaryote
Lineage: Eukaryota
Description: partial 18S ribosomal RNA
Rfam family: Eukaryotic small subunit ribosomal RNA
Source: RNAcentral